Molecule: long non-coding RNA, 539 nt
Filed under: Homo sapiens (human)
Lineage: Eukaryota; Metazoa; Chordata; Mammalia; Primates; Hominidae
Description: HSALNT0065809
Source: RNAcentral
CAAGCCCCGAGGGCAGCAGCUGUGGGCAGGCUGGAGGAAAUGGUCCCUGUUUAGGUGCUGCACUGGUCUCUGCAUGAUCAAUCCCAGCGCCCAGAACACCGAUAUCAAGGCCUUUGCCUGGCUCUUCUCCAGAUGGUUUUCUAUUGCAGGAGUUUUGCUGGCAGAGAGCUUAUGAAGAAACAGGCUUACAGAAGGCACGGCCAGGCUGCAGGGAUGACUGGGACCUGAAAACAGCCAGCAUCAUCAUUCUUGAAAGUUUAGAAACGAGGCAUGUAUACGUAUUUAACAGUUCUCAGAAUGUCAAGGAUCCCUCCUCAGAGCAAGAGCUCGAAUUUACAAAAGAAGCACUACCUCCUUUAUCACAUAGUAAAAUAAAGGACCGUGUCUGCUCCAGGACAUGGCUGGUUACAAUUUUGUUUUAAAGAAAUCACCAGAGAAACCUGAGAUUCCAACCCAGCCUUUUGUUUGCCUGGGAUUAUAGCCCAGUUCUUACAAGCAGAGAAGCCUAGGACACUAACCCAGCUUCAAGAGUAUACUCA